RNAcentral lists this ribosomal RNA (254 nucleotides) under uncultured bacterium. RNAcentral describes it as "partial 16S ribosomal RNA". It matches the Rfam family "Bacterial small subunit ribosomal RNA", at positions 524 to 776 of the family's 1533-position model. The record is from RNAcentral.
UACGUAGGUGACCAGCGUUGUCCGGGUUUACUGGGCGUAAAGAGCGCGCAGGCGGUCGUUCAAGUCGAGUGUGAAAGCCCCCGGCUCAACUGGGGAGGGUCAUUCGAUACUGAUCGACUGGAAGGCAGGAGAGGGAAGCGGAAUUCCCGGUGUAGUGGUGAAAUGCGUAGAUAUCGGGAGGAACACCAGUGGCGAAGGCGGCUUCCUGGCCUGUUCUUGACGCUGAGGCGCGAAAGCUAGGGGGAGCAAACGGG